This 453-nucleotide ribosomal RNA is filed under the name uncultured bacterium. RNAcentral's name for it is "bacterial SSU rRNA". It matches the Rfam family "Bacterial small subunit ribosomal RNA", at positions 340 to 786 of the family's 1533-position model. The record is from RNAcentral.
UACGGAAGGCAGCAGUGGGGAAUAUUGCACAAUGGGCGCAAGCCUGAUGCAGCCAUGCCGCGUGUAUGAAGAAGGCCUUCGGGUUGUAAAGUACUUUCAGUCGUGAGGAAGGUGUUAAGGUUAAUAACCUUAGCAAUUGACGUUAGCGACAGAAGAAGCACCGGCUAACUCCGUGCCAGCAGCCGCGGUAAUACGGAGGGUGCGAGCGUUAAUCGGAAUUACUGGGCGUAAAGGGCACGCAGGCGGUUAAUUAAGUUGGAUGUGAAAUCCCCGGGCUUAACCUGGGAAUGGCAUUCAAGCUGGUUAGCUAGAGUCUUGUAGAGGGGGUAGAAUUCCAUGUGUAGCGGUGAAAUGCGUAGAGAUGUGGAGGAAUACCGGUGGCGAAGGCGGCCCCUGGACAAAGACUGACGCUCAUGUGCGAAAGCGUGGGGAGCAAACGAGGGAUUAGAUACC